This 90-nucleotide transfer RNA is filed under the name Candidatus Peregrinibacteria bacterium CG10_big_fil_rev_8_21_14_0_10_49_24. RNAcentral describes it as "tRNA-Ser". It matches the Rfam family "tRNA". From Rfam's summary of the family: Transfer RNA (tRNA) molecules are approximately 80 nucleotides in length. Their secondary structure includes four short double-helical elements and three loops (D, anti-codon, and T loops). Lineage: Bacteria; Candidatus Peregrinibacteriota. RNAcentral also lists the same sequence under 1 other name. The record is from RNAcentral.
GGAGAGAUGGCAGAGUGGUCGAUCGCGACGGUCUUGAAAACCGUUAGACCUGCAAGGGUCUCGGGGGUUCGAAUCCCCCUCUCUCCGCCA